Molecule: long non-coding RNA, 200 nt
Organism: Leptopilina heterotoma
Lineage: Eukaryota; Metazoa; Arthropoda; Insecta; Hymenoptera; Figitidae
Exons: 3
Source: RefSeq, a predicted model, not a curated record
ACAAUAUUGGCAUUGUUCUCAAUCUGGUUCGCUUCAGCCAUGUUAGCGAUACCUUGCCUUCUAUAUUCAACUACAAAUUCUCGAAGAUAUAAUAGCGGAAAUACUAGAAUCGUCUGUUAUAUGCAAUGGCCUGAUGGAAGUUAUCCAAACAGUAAAACCGAAUACAUAUACAAUUUAGUAUUUCUCGGAGUAACAUACCU